UGCGAGUCAUUGUAGCAAUACAAGGCAGACGGCUCAGUAACGCGUAGUCAACCUACCCUAUGGACGGGAAUAACCUCGGGAAACUGAGUAUAAUGCCCGAUAGAACACUAUACCUGGAAUGGUUUGUGUUCCAAAUGAUUUAUCGCCGUAGGAUGGGACUGCGGCCUAUCAGUUUGUUGGUGAGGUAAUGGCCCACCAAGACUAUUACAGGUACGGGCUCUGAGAGGAGUGGCCCGGAGAUGGGUACUGAGACACGGACCCAGGCCCUAUGGGGCGCAGCAGGCGAGAAAACUUUGCAAUGUGCGAAAGCACGACAAGGUUAAUCCGAGUGGUUUCUGCUAAAGGAACCUUUUGACAGUCCUAGAAACACUGUUGAAUAAGGGGUGGGCAAGUUCUGGUGUCAGCCGCCGCGGUAAAACCAGCACCUCAAGUGGUCAGGAUGGUUAUUGGGCCUAAAGCAUCCGUAGCCGGUUCUGUAAGUUUUCGGUUAAAUCUGUACGCUCAACGUACAGGCUGCUGGGAAUACUGCAGAACUAGGGAGUGGGAGAGAUAGACGGUACUCGGGAGGAAGUGGUAAAAUGCUUUGAUCUCUCGAUGACCACCUGUGGCGAAGGCGGUCUAUCAGAACACGCCCGACGGUGAGGGGUGAAAGCUGGGGGAGCAAACCGGAUUAGAUACCCGGGUAGUCCCAGCUGUAAACUAUGCAAACUCAAUGAUGCAUUGACUUAUGGUC
Molecule: ribosomal RNA, 733 nt
Filed under: uncultured archaeon
Lineage: Archaea
Description: bacterial SSU rRNA
Rfam family: Archaeal small subunit ribosomal RNA
Source: RNAcentral